This 253-nucleotide ribosomal RNA is filed under the name uncultured bacterium. RNAcentral's name for it is "partial 16S ribosomal RNA". It matches the Rfam family "Bacterial small subunit ribosomal RNA", at positions 524 to 776 of the family's 1533-position model. The record is from RNAcentral.
GACGAACUGUCCUAACGUUGUUCGGAAUCACUGGGCUUAAAGGGCGCGUAGGCGGUCGAUCAAGUCAGGGGUGAAAUCCUGCAGCUUAACUGUAGAAGUGCCUUUGAUACUGGUCGUCUCGAGGGAGGUAGGGGUGUGUGGAACUUCCAGUGGAGCGGUGAAAUUCGUAGAUAUUCGGAAGAACACCAGUGGCGAAGGCGACACACUGGCCCGUUACUGACGCUGAGGCGCGAAAGCGUGGGGAGCAAACAGG